UGGGGAAUAUUGGACAAUGGGGGGAACCCUGAUCCAGCCAUGCCGCGUGUGUGAAGAAGGCCUUAUGGUUGUAAAGCACUUUAAGCGAGGAGGAGGGUACUGGUAUUAAUACUACCAGGUACUGGACGUUACUCGCAGAAUCAGCACCGGCUAACUCUGUGCCAGCAGCCGCGGUAAUACAGAGGGUGCGAGCGUUAAUCGGAUUUACUGGGCGUAAAGCGUGCGUAGGCGGCUAAUUGAGUCGGAUGUGAAAUCCCCGAGCUUAACUUGGGAAUUGCAUUCGAUACUGGUUAGCUAGAGUGUGGGAGAGGAUGGUAGAAUUCCAGGUGUAGCGGUGAAAUGCGUAGAGAUCUGGAGGAAUACCGAUGGCGAAGGCAGCCAUCUGGCCUAACACUGACGCUGAGGUACGAAAGCAUGGGGAGCAAACAGG
This 430-nucleotide ribosomal RNA is filed under the name Pseudomonadota bacterium. RNAcentral's name for it is "Proteobacteria bacterium partial 16S ribosomal RNA". It matches the Rfam family "Bacterial small subunit ribosomal RNA", at positions 355 to 776 of the family's 1533-position model. The record is from RNAcentral. Lineage: Bacteria; Pseudomonadati; Pseudomonadota.